GAGGUCCAUGAGGGCAGCUUCCUCUGUUGAAAAGAAACAAGUAACAAGUAAAAAACACCAGUCAUUCUGUUGUAAUGAUUUAUGAUCCAAAAAUUUAUUUUGACUGAUUACUAAAAUAAAGCCACAUGUUACAAGGACAGUAUAGGACUUCAAAGAUGCAUUCAACUACCACAGUUAACAAUUCUGUUCCAGCUUUACCGCAAGGGGCAAAAAGGAAAGAAAGAAAGAAAUAGGAGAAGACAACAAGAACGUGUUUUAAAAAUUUCAUGAUAACUAAAAUAAGGAACUACUCUUAAAGGAUAGUGACAUCCACACAUACCAGAAGCAUUGAUCCGUAGUGUCA
Molecule: unclassified non-coding RNA, 343 nt
Filed under: Hevea brasiliensis (rubber tree)
Lineage: Eukaryota; Viridiplantae; Streptophyta; Magnoliopsida; Malpighiales; Euphorbiaceae
Source: RNAcentral